AGUAACCUACCCUUGGGAUCGGGAUAACAUUCCGAAAGGAGUGCUAAUACCGGAUAAGACCACAGCCCCUGCGGGGGUCGUGAGAAAAGGACGGGGAUCCGAAAGGACCUGUCGCCGAAGGAUGGGCUCGCGGCCUAUCAGCUUGUUGGUGAGGUAACGGCUCACCAAGGCUAAGACGGGUAGCUGGUCUGAGAGGAUGAUCAGCCACACUGGAACUGAGACACGGUCCAG
Molecule: ribosomal RNA, 231 nt
Filed under: uncultured bacterium
Lineage: Bacteria
Description: partial 16S ribosomal RNA
Rfam family: Bacterial small subunit ribosomal RNA
Source: RNAcentral